Molecule: transfer RNA, 74 nt
Filed under: Muribaculaceae bacterium
Lineage: Bacteria; Pseudomonadati; Bacteroidota; Bacteroidia; Bacteroidales; Muribaculaceae
Description: tRNA-His
Rfam family: tRNA
About the family: Transfer RNA (tRNA) molecules are approximately 80 nucleotides in length. Their secondary structure includes four short double-helical elements and three loops (D, anti-codon, and T loops).
Source: RNAcentral
GUGCCCAUAGUUCAGUUGGUUAGAACGUCGGAUUGUGGUUCCGAAGGUCAAGGGUUCGAAUCCCCUUGGGCACC